This 528-nucleotide ribosomal RNA is filed under the name uncultured bacterium. RNAcentral's name for it is "bacterial SSU rRNA". It matches the Rfam family "Bacterial small subunit ribosomal RNA", at positions 980 to 1509 of the family's 1533-position model. The record is from RNAcentral.
CUUGACAUCCAGAGAAUUUAGCAGAGAUGCUUUAGUGCCUUCGGGAACUCUGAGACAGGUGCUGCAUGGCUGUCGUCAGCUCGUGUUGUGAAAUGUUGGUUAAGUCCGCAACGAGCGCAACCCUUAUCCUUUGUUGCCAGCACGUAAUGGUGGGAACUCAAAGGAGACUGCCGGUGAUAAACCGGAGGAAGGUGGGGAUGACGUCAAGUCAUCAUGGCCCUUACGAGUAGGGCUACACACGUGCUACAAUGGCGUAUACAAAGAGAAGCGACCUCGCGAGAGCAAGCGGACCUCAUAAAGUGCGUCGUAGUCCGGAUUGGAGUCUGCAACUCGACUCCAUGAAGUCGGAAUCGCUAGUAAUCGUAAAUCAGAAUGUUACGGUGAAUACGUUCCCGGGCCUUGUACACACCGCCCGUCACACCAUGGGAGUGGGUUGCAAAAGAAGUAGAUAGCUUAACCUUCGGGAGGGCGUUUACCACUUUGUGAUUCAUGACUGGGGUGAAGUCGUAACAAGGUAGGCGUAGUGCU